This 482-nucleotide ribosomal RNA is filed under the name uncultured bacterium. RNAcentral describes it as "partial 16S ribosomal RNA". It matches the Rfam family "Bacterial small subunit ribosomal RNA", at positions 30 to 507 of the family's 1533-position model. The record is from RNAcentral.
AUUGAACGCUGGCGGCAUGCCUUACACAUGCAAGUCGAACGGUAACGGGCCUUCGGGUGCUGACGAGUGGCGAACGGGUGAGUAAUACAUCGGAACGUGCCCGAACGUGGGGGAUAACGAGGCGAAAGCUUUGCUAAUACCGCAUACGAUCUACGGAUGAAAGUCGGGGACCGCAAGGCCUUGCGCGGACGGAGCGGCCGAUGGCAGAUUAGGUAGUUGGUGGGAUAAAAGCUUACCAAGCCGACGAUCUGUAGCUGGUCUGAGAGGAUGAUCAGCCACACUGGGACUGAGACACGGCCCAGACUCCUACGGGAGGCAGCAGUGGGGAAGUUUGGACAAUGGUCGCAAGCCUGAUCCAGCCAUGCCGCGUGCAGGAUGAAGGCCUUCGGGUUGUAAACUGCUUUUGUACGGAACGAAAAGCCUUCUUUUAAUACAGGAGGGUCAUGACGGUACCGUAAGAAUAAGCACCGGCUAACUACGUG